AGCGAACGCUGGCGGCAGGCUUAACACAUGCAAGUCGAGCGGGCACUUUCGGGUGUCAGCGGCGGACGGGUGAGUAACGCGGGGGAACGUGCCCUCUGGUUCGGAAUAACUCAGGGAAACUUGAGCUAAUACCGGAUACGCCCUUUUGGGGAAAGGCUUGCUGCGGGAGGAUCGGCCCGCGUCUGAUUAGCUAGUUGGUGAGGUAACGGCUCACCAAGGCGACGAUCAGUAGCUGGUCUGAGAGGAUGAUCAGCCACACUGGGACUGAGACACGGCCCAGACUCCUACGGGAGGCAGCAGUGGGGAAUAUUGGACAAUGGGCGCAAGCCUGAUCCAGCCAUGCCGCGUGAGUGAUGAAGGCCUUAGGGUUGUAAAGCUCUUUUAUCCGGGACGAUAAUGACGGUACCGGAGGAAUAAGCCCCGGCUAACUUCGUG
Molecule: ribosomal RNA, 435 nt
Filed under: uncultured bacterium
Lineage: Bacteria
Description: partial 16S ribosomal RNA
Rfam family: Bacterial small subunit ribosomal RNA
Source: RNAcentral